UGGCCCCGUAGCUCAGCCUGGUUAGAGCACCGGACUCUUAAUCCGGGUGUCGUGGGUUCAACUCCCAUCGGGGUCAU
This 77-nucleotide transfer RNA is filed under the name uncultured archaeon. RNAcentral's name for it is "tRNA-Lys(ctt)". It matches the Rfam family "tRNA". Rfam says of the family: Transfer RNA (tRNA) molecules are approximately 80 nucleotides in length. Their secondary structure includes four short double-helical elements and three loops (D, anti-codon, and T loops). The record is from RNAcentral.